RNAcentral lists this ribosomal RNA (403 nucleotides) under bacterium. RNAcentral's name for it is "partial 16S ribosomal RNA". It matches the Rfam family "Bacterial small subunit ribosomal RNA", at positions 355 to 776 of the family's 1533-position model. The record is from RNAcentral.
UGGGGAAUCUUGCACAAUGGGGGAAACCCUGAUGCAGCGACGCCGCGUGAGCGAUGAAGGUUUUCGAAUCGUAAAGCUCUGUCCUAUGGGAAUAUAAUGACGGUACCAUAGGAGGAAGCCCCGGCUAACUACGUGCCAGCAGCCGCGGUAAUACGUAGGGGGCGAGCGUUGUCCGGAAUUACUGGGCGUAAAGGGUUCGCAGGCGGCAUGACAAGUCCGAUGUAAAAGGCGAAAGCUCAACUUUCGUAAGCAUCGGAAACUGUCAAGCUUGAGUGAAGGAGAGGCAAGUGGAAUUCCUAGUGUAGCGGUGGAAUGCGUAGAUAUUAGGAGGAAUACCGGUGGCGAAGGCGACUUGCUGGACUUCAACUGACGCUGAGGAACGAAAGCGUGGGUAGCAAACAGG